UACAGAGGUCUCAAGCGUUGUUCGGAUUCAUUGGGCGUAAAGGGCGCGUAGGCGGUGCGGUAAGUCACUUGUGAAAUCUCCGAGCUUAACUCGGAACGGCCAAGUGAUACUGCAGUACUAGAGUGCGGAAGGGGCAAUCGGAAUUCUUGGUGUAGCGGUGAAAUGCGUAGAUAUCAAGAGGAACACCUGAGGUGAAGACGGGUUGCUGGGCCGACACUGACGCUGAGGCACGAAGGCCAGGGGAGCAAACGGG
RNAcentral lists this ribosomal RNA (253 nucleotides) under uncultured bacterium. Its description in RNAcentral is "partial 16S ribosomal RNA". It matches the Rfam family "Bacterial small subunit ribosomal RNA", at positions 524 to 776 of the family's 1533-position model. The record is from RNAcentral.